Long non-coding RNA from Cercocebus atys (sooty mangabey), 4608 nucleotides. RefSeq lists it as uncharacterized. The record is from RefSeq and is a predicted model, not a curated record. The transcript is spliced from 5 exons. Lineage: Eukaryota; Metazoa; Chordata; Mammalia; Primates; Cercopithecidae.
UGGGUAAUCGCUCAGCGCUCUUCGGUAGUGAUGAAAGAAUCAGACUCCACUGCAGAAAACACCUCAUUCUAUUCUCAGAAGAGUAAAAUGGAGAACGCCAGUGAACAAACAACACACCAGGGGUGUGGCAGUUGUUGCUAUUCAGAAAAAGAACACCUGCGGGGGGGAAAAGGAAACACCAGAGGCUUUCGCACGAUCCCUUUUUCCUGAAACUGACUCUGCUGAGGAUGUGAUGUGGAUACGGUUCUUAUCAAAUAUCUGGAACACAGAAGAGCUUAUUACAUGUUGUGUGGAUGGAUUAAGCUUGCUAAGCUAUUUGGAAACAGGAAGAAAAAGCGUGCCCGGAAUUCGGAGACCACCCAUGGAAAGGCACGACCUCCACUGGGUGUUCAGGACUUGAGGUGACAAUGUUUAAAGCAAGACAAACAACGAAAGAAAACCAAAAUAAUGUGGUUUACAUGCUAGGAGAAGAACAGUCUUGUAGCCAACAUAAACGAGCUCUCAUGGAAACCUCUGCCCGCCAAGAACACUUAACCUCCACGAAUGACAUCUGUGCCACAAGGGUGCAGCUCGAAGUCCCAGGUAAAGUAAACCAUCUCUUUAGGGUGGCAUGAAUGGGGCAGCUUCUCAUUCUCAGAAAAGGCUGCCAUUAUUUUGUAGAAAACAGUUGGGAUUUGAAACCGGAUCUGGCUCAACUCUCAACUGCACCUGCUUUCUGAGCUUCAGUUGCAUUAUCUGUAAAGUAGUAUUAUCUGACUGGCCUAAUUCAUAUGGUUGUCCCACACAUCAAAGAUGACAACGAGAGUGAAGAUACUGGAUGAAUUGUACCCAAAUAUUAGUUGGUGCUAGACCCUGAUUCAUGGAAGGUAGCAUCCCAGAGAUUAUUUUCUUCCCUAAUCCCUGUUUGAGGCAGGGGUUGAAAGAAAGUGGAGUUAUCCAAGGUCAUUGGUCAUGACGCUUCUUAGUUCAACCAUCACUUAAUGUUCUGAUGGGAAAGAGGCUAAAGAGAUCAAGUGGGCGAGGGGAGCCAUGGAGACAAAGUGGGAGUCGAUUGAGGACCAGGGAGGGUGGAAAAGGAAAAUAACUACCUCUCAGAAAUAAGGGCAGAGUUAAAAUUAUGCGAUGAAUAACAGCAAUAAUAUUACCUCUCACUUUUCUUCUCUGACAGCACUGGUUCUCCAAAAAUAAACCAAGAGCAGAAAGGCAGUAUGGCAUGUGGUCAAGAAUACAGGCUCAAGAGUCAGAUUAAUUCCAGUUUGAAUUCAGGUUGCCCUUUACCUGUAUCUUUACCUGUAUGUCACAUUGGGCAAAUUGUUUAACCUCUUGUACCCUCAUUUUUUUCUUUCAGCAAAAUAGAAAUGAUAUCACUACUUCCCUUAAGCGUUGUUAAAUGUUAUGAUGUAUGUUGAAUAUUUAGCUCAGUGCCUGACAAGUAGUAAGGGUCUAAUAAGUGUUAGCUCUUAGUAUUAUUAACAGUGCAGCUAUUAGCAGGGAAAUACUUCUUGAAUUUAAGGUGAGACAUUAUUCAACUUAGCUUGCUUCAUACAAAUGAGCCAGGAAUCCUUUGUGCAUUCUCUUUCCCUUCCUUCCUGAUCAACUGGCUCUUUUUCAAUCUGUCUUUUUUGUUUGUUUCUGCUUUUUAUCGCUAUGUAAUUGUUGUUCAGAUUUUGGGGUACAUGUGAUAAUUUGAUACAUGCAUACAAUGUGUAAUGAUCAAAUCAGGGUAAUCGAGAUAUCCAUCACCUCAAGCAUUUACCUUUUCUUUGUGUUGGAAACAUUAUAAUUCUUCUCUUGUAGGCAUUUUGAACUAUACAAUAAAUUAUUGUUAGAUAUAAUUUCCUUACAAAAAUGCAGUUAGAAGGAGUAAGUUCUAGCAUUCCAUCAGUCUUAAUUAAACAUUUUAUUGAGUGUAUCUUAGUGCUGAUCCCAAUGAAAGGCAAAUGGGACAAUUAAUUUGCCCAUAAGGAGCUUCAUAAAUUAGGACCAAUCUAAGAAUGUCACAAGCUGAUAUAAUUAUUUUUAUUUCUCAUAGCCCUAAGGGAUGUGAGAGCGGGAGUGGCCAGUACUCCCAAGGUCCUAUGAGGGUUGUCACAGCGACACACUUCAGCUCCCUGACAACAGAUGAGGUUCCAAGGUAGCCUUGUAUGGAAAUGCAAGCUCUGCUUCCACAACGCCUCCACCUCAUUGCUAUAACUGGUAUCAUAAUCAACAAGAUGAGACUGUCUUUCCUGUUUUUUGAAGUAAUGUUUGCUGUAACCUAGGAUAAAUAAACCCCGACUCAGUCUUUAGACCAGGAAGCACUUUCAAGGCCUAUAUCCUGUCCUGGCAGGGAGAUGGGAUCAAAUGAGCGAAUGGGUCUUUCCAUGGCUAACUGCUGUGACAGCUGCCGUGCUAAGAAUGGCAGGAGCCUCUAAACAGCAAGCUGUCCAGUGAGAGGAGGAGGGAAGGUCCACUAGGCUAUGUGGAAUUUUCAUUUCCGGCAGCAUUGGAAAAUGAGAUCUCGAGGCAGCCAUGUUUAUUCUGAUCAUGUGGAAAUUAAAAUUAGAAUAGGGGAAAUUUGAACCCACCUGGUCUAGGGUAUGCAGCAGACUCAUGACCAGAGGAGAUAAGUAACAAAAAACAAAAGACAAACCAUAAUAAUAAUAUAAAAAUAGAGCUAUUGGAAUAAUAUUUUAGUCUGGAGGAAAAACGGGUAGUCUCCUAUCUGAGGCGAAGCCUCAGUGGGAUUGAGGAUCUGGGAGCCCUGAGGGGUCACAGAAUCUCUGUAAAAGAGAAAGCAGGCACCGUGUGGGGAGGGCACAUGAGGCCCAGGUCCUCAGCUCUGGGUGGGGCAGAAGCAAAGGAGCUGGGCACACUGGCCUUGAUUCCCUCCAUCUCUUGCAGAUGCUCCCUGAACCUGAACUUUCAGCCAAGUGGCUAGAAUUUCUACUGUCUGGCAUUUGUCUGCUGGUCAAAGAAUGACAUCUACUGGUAAUAUGGUCUAGGAGAAAGACCCUGAAGCGAGAAGGCCAAGGAAUAGAAUCUGGUGCUAUCUAUGCAAACUGACUAUGAUCCAAAUCGAAUCUGAGCCUCAGUUUCAUCAUUUAUUAAGUGGAGAAAAUACAGCUUGUCCCACAAAUUUACUUGGAGGAGAGAUGAUUUAAAAGCAUAAGUGCUUUGAACGUAGAAAGGAAUCACCACACAUCUGAUAGGGUUCAUCUCCCUCCCUUUCAACCCCACAGUCUUGUCUCCAGUUAAGCUCUUGUGCUUGCCUGGACUGUGGGAUCCUCUGGCUGCUUUCUCCAGCUAUAUUUUGGCAGCAGGGUGCCUGGGAAGCACAAGUUUGGCAUUCAGAGAGUGUAUCUAGCCCAUGGCUGUGGGUGGCAUAGAAAAGAGCCAGGAGAAUUAUUUCUCUCUCGGCUCCCUUUCUCAGUUCCCAGGUCUGUCCAUGGGACCAUUUCCCCAGCUCCUUUCCCAUAUUUUGGUGGGGUGUAUAGGCACUGCACAGAGUUUGCCCGUUUCAUAAGAACUGACCACAGGGUGUCCAGCUGUGUGGUCAUCUUUCUUAAUCUUUCUGGCCUGGCAGGAGGAGAAUGGACCUUGGGCACAUUUUAAAGCCAUUUCUGUAAAACUGAUGCUGCAAGUCAAUGAGAAGCCUGCACUCAGCUUUCCAGGCAGGGUUUGCCAAAGAACAAAGAUCCGAUUCAUACUAACUCAUUGACUGCCUUAUUUGUAAUUUCCCCCCCACUUAAUAUUAUAAAUGCAGGCAACCAGGAAUGCAGGCUUCGCAGAUGACGAUUUGCACAAAUCAGUUUUGUUUUCCAUUUUCUGUAUAUUUCUUAUCUACCCCCUUCCCCAACCCAAUAUAACCCAUGGAAAUACCAUCAGUGCAGGGGUAGAGGAACCGGGGUGCCCUUGUCUAGAAUAGAGGACAGUCGUGUGUGGAGGAUGAGGCUGGCUCUGUAGGCCUCUGCAAAGAAGGCUCCCCAUCCUCCACCCUGCCACCUCGGUGUUUUCAAGGUGUGCUGUGAGUUGUGUGGGUGUCUGGCUGCAGAGUGUUCAGUAAGUCAGCAAUUUCCUCAGAUCUUCAUGCAGAAAUUUGAUUCUACCACAGGGAGCAUUGAAGCUGCUGACUUAGAAAUCACACAGAGUAAUUUAAACAUUUGGCACAUUUAUUUGCAUGCCAGAAAUGUGUAAAAACUGCCCGGCUCUUGUCCAUAACUCGUGGCUUAUCGACUGAAAACGACCACUGGCGGGGUUUCCUAUAGCUUAGGAUUUGAAUGCCUCAUCUCCUUGGGACUCAAAGGAGUAAAACUAUGGGCAAGAAGCCCGUUGAAGGGUAGGAAAACUGAGUCACAAAAAUUUAUUAAAAGAUUUUUCUGCAAUUAUCCUGUUUCUUUUGAUUCCAAAUUCUACAAUAUUUCCAAAGGUCCUCGUAGCCUCUUUGUAAACCAUCUCAGAAAAAGAAAGCCAGGUUUUCAUGAAAAAAAAUGUUGUGGUCUGAUUUAUCUCAUCCCAACAUAGCAAGUGUCAUAGGAGAAGUGGCUAUGGGUCAGCAGUUUCCAAUACAAAUAAUCUCUUCCUUUAAAAAGCAGAUUUAAAAAAAAAAGUAUAAAAAUUUAUUUAAUU